Molecule: ribosomal RNA, 404 nt
Filed under: uncultured Oscillospiraceae bacterium
Lineage: Bacteria; Bacillati; Bacillota; Clostridia; Eubacteriales; Oscillospiraceae
Description: bacterial SSU rRNA
Rfam family: Bacterial small subunit ribosomal RNA
Source: RNAcentral
GGGGGAUAUUGCACAAUGGGCGCAAGCCUGAUGCAGCGACGCCGCGUGAAGGAAGAAGGCUUUCGGGUUGUAAACUUCUUUGACGAGGGACGAAAGAAAUGACGGUACCUCGAAAACAAGCCACGGCUAACUACGUGCCAGCAGCCGCGGUAAUACGUAGGUGGCAAGCGUUGUCCGGAUUUACUGGGUGUAAAGGGCGCGUAGGCGGGAUAGCAAGUCAGAUGUGAAAUGCCAGGGCUUAACCCUGGAGCUGCAUUUGAAACUGCUGUUCUUGAGUAUCGGAGAGGCAGGCGGAAUUCCUAGUGUAGCGGUGAAAUGCGUAGAUAUUAGGAGGAACACCAGUGGCGAAGGCGGCCUGCUGGACGACAACUGACGCUGAUGCGCGAAAGCGUGGGGAGCAAACA